UACGAACCGUGCGAGCGUUGUUCGGAUUCACUGGGCUUAAAGGGCGCGUAGGCGGACAAUCAAGUCAGGGGUGAAAGCCUCCAGCUCAACUGGAGAAGUGCCUUUGAUACUGACUGUCUCGAGGGAGGUAGGGGCAUGUGGAACUUCCGGUGGAGCGGUGAAAUGCGUAGAUAUCGGAAGGAACGCCGGUGGCGAAAGCGACGUGCUGGACCUCUUCUGACGCUGAGGCGCGAAAGCUAGGGGAGCAAACGGG
RNAcentral lists this ribosomal RNA (253 nucleotides) under uncultured bacterium. RNAcentral describes it as "partial 16S ribosomal RNA". It matches the Rfam family "Bacterial small subunit ribosomal RNA", at positions 524 to 776 of the family's 1533-position model. The record is from RNAcentral.